This is a long non-coding RNA of Amphiprion ocellaris (clown anemonefish), 1353 nucleotides long. The record is from Ensembl. Lineage: Eukaryota; Metazoa; Chordata; Actinopteri; Pomacentridae.
UCUCAGACGACUAACACCAUGGUCCGUGUACGGAUCUGGUAAUUGGAUAUUCCGUUCUGAAACAGGUGGAAGCUGAAUUAGUGAGGAUGACUCCUGCUCCUGUCAUCUCUAAGCUCCUCACACAUCUUUACCUGCACAUGAGGAAAAUCACUCCUGUAGAAUGCAGAUGUUCAGAAGGAGAUGAUGCCACAUCUGGUCCAGACGAUGGAAGGUCUUGAAGUUCUCUGACUGGCCUCGACUGAAGAUGGUCGUCUCACUGGAUUUAAGGUUCAGAUGCUCAGUAACAAACUCCACCAAUGAGCCAACAGGGAAGCUUUAGGUUUAUUAAAUGUUGCUAUGAAGGUUUCGCUGUUUUUCUUUGUGAAUGCAAUGUGCUCCAACUGAAACUUGAAUUAGAACUUAGAAGUAAAUCCUUCCAUCUGAAAGGUUUUAGUUGCAUUAAUAACCUCAUAACAUUCUAAUUUUUAUUCCAGUCUUGGUUGGAAAUAGAAUCUCUGGAUUGAUUCAGGUAAAAACUGAACUUCACAGCAUGUUGCAGCAAAACAACCAGAUGAAAACUGUGAUGGUGUUGGAUUGUCAGACCGUAAUGUUGCAGCUCAAAGCAGCUUUUCUAGCUCAGUUCAUUCUGACAUUCAGCUAUGAAUCAACACAGCAGAUGGUGAUCCAUGCUGUGGAAGUCUCACAUCUCCUGAUUUAAUGGAGCUGCUUUGCACUUUUUACACUGUUUAUUCACCAACACUUUAUUUAAUAAAAGUCCCAUCUAGUUUUUAUGAGGAAUGUGAUGCUUUAAUUUCUCUGUGAAUAACUGCAGUCUAAUGCAACAGCUGGAAUUGUAACAUCUGUCCUGAUAUUGAUCAUGAAGUAUUGAUCAGAAUACUUAUGGUCAGCAGUCAUCCCUGAAGUUUUACUUUAAAAUCUUUACUUGUGAUGUGAACUUUGGUAAGAAGCAGAAACUUUUGCGUUGCCAUGGAUACAUGAGUGUUAAAUUCUGUCCAUGUUUCCAUUUUGGGAAAUUCAGUCCAGCAGAUGAGUUUGUUUUUACUGCCAGCUACCAUUCAGUCUGAGAUAUUAAGAAUAAAUAAAUAUGUAUAAUGUGGAAAUUAACAGAGUUUAUUUUUAUUUAUUCCUACACCUGCUGCAUUUAAAGUUCCAGAAUGUGGAGGAAUUUAGGAUCACAAUAACAGACAAUAAUAUUAUCUGAAAGUCGGGUUAUUGUUGUUUAUCAGCACAAUACAAAAAGAUUAAUGUUAGAAAUAUUCCAGUUAAGACUCUAGAAUAUCAUGAUUUAUCUAAAUUUACCUCAAUAAUAUGAAUGUUCAGGUUAAGAUUGUACAGUGAUAUUUAUUAUGUAAG